This 253-nucleotide ribosomal RNA is filed under the name uncultured bacterium. RNAcentral's name for it is "partial 16S ribosomal RNA". It matches the Rfam family "Bacterial small subunit ribosomal RNA", at positions 524 to 776 of the family's 1533-position model. The record is from RNAcentral.
UACGGAGGGUGCAAGCGUUAUCCGGAAUCACUGGGCGUAAAGGAUGCGUAGGUGGGACUAUUAGUCAGAGGUUAAAGACCGGAGCUCAACUCCGGGAAGGCCUCUGAAACGGUAGUUCUUGAGUUUGUUAGAGGCACGUAGAACUCUCGGUGUAGGGGUGAAAUCCGUUGAUAUCGAGGGGAAUACCAAAAGCGAAGGCAGCGUGCUGGGACAACACUGACACUGAGGCAUGAAACCCUGGGUAGCGAAUGGG